CCUACGGGAGGCAGCAGUGAGGAAUAUUGGUCAAUGGACGGAAGUCUGAACCAGCCAAGCCGCGUGAAGGAAGACGGCGCUAUGAGUUGUAAACUGCUUUUAUACAAGGGUAAACCUGUACACGUGUAGGCUGCUGAAAGUACCAUACGAAUAAGGAUCGGCUAACUCCGUGCCAGCAGCCGCGGUAAUACGGAGGAUCCAAGCGUUAUCCGGAUUUAUUGGGUUUAAAGGGUGCGUAGGUGGAUUGUUAAGUUAGAGGUGAAAUUUUCCGGCUCAACCCUGAAACUGCCAUUGAUACUGUUGUUCUUGAGUGUAGUUGCGGUAAGCGGAAUGUGUGGUGUAGCGGUGAAAUGCUUAGAUAUCACGCAGAACCCCGAUUGCGAAGGCAGCUUACCAAUCUAUAUCUGACGUUGAGGCUCGAAAGUGUGGGUAUCAAACAGGAUUAGAUACCCCAGUAGUC
RNAcentral lists this ribosomal RNA (460 nucleotides) under uncultured bacterium. RNAcentral's name for it is "partial 16S ribosomal RNA". It matches the Rfam family "Bacterial small subunit ribosomal RNA", at positions 338 to 795 of the family's 1533-position model. The record is from RNAcentral.